Scylla paramamosain (green mud crab) is the source of this 1535-nucleotide long non-coding RNA. RefSeq lists it as uncharacterized. NCBI's taxonomy places the organism in Eukaryota, Metazoa, Arthropoda, Malacostraca, Decapoda, Portunidae. The record is from RefSeq and is a predicted model, not a curated record. The transcript has 3 exons.
GGUGAUUGUUAUUAGUGCCGUGGUAUAUUGUCUCACGUGAUUGAAGUGCCUCGGUGACGCCUGAUACCGGACGGAUUAUUUCACGAGUUUUUUUAAUACUGCAUAGUGCCGUUUCUUGGAGUUGGUUAGGGCUUGAGGUGACUGUAGUACUGAGAAACCGAUGGUGAUGGUGGAGUUUGGUGGUGGCUGGCGUAUAUAAGUGACUGGUUGAGCCGCCACAGUGUGAGGAAAAGUAAACUGAAGUGUAGUGGAAGACAUUGUAAUAGCAUAAUGGCUCCAGCGGGUGUAUGGCGGCGUGAUAACCGUGAAUAUUACUGGAGGAAACGAUAAAUCUUGAUCUUGAUCUUCAUACCACCUCAGGAUCACUCCUGAGAACACUCACUGCGUCAAUCAUCCUUCCAUUCGUCUCCCCACAUAGUCCAGCAGUAACGGGAUAGACCCAACUCGGACCGUUCUGAAAUACCAGCUCGUACCAUCAUCUCAACCAACUCGAGUCAUUCUGAACGACCAACUCUGGCCAAACUUGAAUCAUCUUUUAUUCCAACUCUAAUUCAAGAUCCAAACCUUAGAUUCCUACAACAAGUAAGGAAUGGAGAAGAAUAGCACAAGAUUUUGAAGACAAAUGGCAGUUUCCUUAUUGUUUGGGUGCUAUUGACGGCAAACAUGUUAGGAUUGUUCCCCCAAAAGAUAGUGGAUCACAUUAUUAUAACUACAAAAAAACGCACAGCAUUGUAUUGCUGGCUAUAGCAAACGCUCACUGUGAAUUAAUUUAUUGUGACGUUGAAACGAAUGGUAGACUAUCUGAUGGAGGUGUGAUCAACAACUCACUUUUCUACGAAAAACUUGUAAAUAAUCAAUUAGAUAUACCUGAGUCUGAACCAGUUAGUUCCGAUCUUGAUAUGGAAUACGUUUUUGUGGGGGAUGAUGCCUUUUGCACUGCGGCCUGACCUCAUUAAGCCCUACAAUCGGGAUUCACUGAACAACGAGAGAAGAAUAUGUAACUAUCGCAUUUCCAGAGCACGACGAGUGGUUGAGAACACUUUUGGAAUUAUGGCAUCAAGAUUUCGUAUUUUACAUACUGCGAUUAAUUUAAAAGUUGAAUCUAUAGACUCAGUAAUCCUCGCUUGUUGUGCGUUACACAAUUUCAUGCGCAAUAAAUCAGUGACAUACGCCCCCACUGAAUGUUUUGAUAAGGAAGAUACUACCGAUGGUACUAUUCACCUCGGUUCAAGGUGCAAUCCUGAUAUUCUGCACAACCUCGAACGACGUUCAAGAGGACAAGUUCUCGAACAAGCAAAACAAGUUAGAGAAAAGUUUUGCUCAUAUUUUAAUGGAGUGGGUUCAGUUACAUGGCAAGAUAAUAUGGCAUUGAGCAUUUGAGAUUUUUGGUUUCAAAAUCAAAACUGCAAACAGUUUCAAUAUAAAUAAAUGGUUUAGUUUAGUAAGGUUAUCAAACAGUUAUAUUAUAAAGCAGUAUAAUAAAAAUGUGUACAUUAAUUUUGUAAAAUUUGAACGCAUCUAUUCAUUAUGUUAAU